This is a non-coding RNA of Schizosaccharomyces pombe (fission yeast), 212 nucleotides long. The record is from the annotation of a GenBank genome assembly. Lineage: Eukaryota; Fungi; Ascomycota; Schizosaccharomycetes; Schizosaccharomycetales; Schizosaccharomycetaceae.
AAAAUAAAAAAGGACUAAAACAAGUAAAAAAAGAAGGAAAAGGAAACAGGUAUAAAAGGAAUCGCGAUUCUUUAAAGGUGCAAAAGAUUUAGGGGCUAUAAGAAGAUAUAUAUAUACUCACAGUAUACUUUUUGAGGGUCAAAUGACAUUAAAAACCGCUGAUUGCGGCCUGAAGCGAAAAAAAAUAAUUCACGAAACAGUUAGAGUACACU